This 654-nucleotide ribosomal RNA is filed under the name Sebacinales sp. B KN-2014. RNAcentral describes it as "eukaryotic LSU rRNA". It matches the Rfam family "Eukaryotic large subunit ribosomal RNA", at positions 1 to 629 of the family's 3401-position model. Lineage: Eukaryota; Fungi; Basidiomycota; Agaricomycetes; Sebacinales. The record is from RNAcentral.
UUGACCUCAAAUCGGGUGGGACUACCCGCUGAACUUAAGCAUAUCAAUAAGCGGAGGAAAGGAAACUAACAAGGAUUCCCCUAGUAACGGCGAGUGAAGAGGGAAAAGCUCAAAUUUUGAAUCUGGUGUCUUUGGCGCCCGAGUUGUAAUCUAGAGAAGUGUUUUCCGCGUUGGACCGUUCACAAGUUUUCUGGAAUGAGGCUUCAUAGAGGGUGAGAAUCCCGUAUCUGGAACGGACUACCAAUGCUCUGUGAUACACUCUCAACGAGUCGAGUUGUUUGGGAAUGCAGCUCAAAAUGGGUGGUAAAUUCCAUCUAAGGCUAAAUAUUGGCGAGAGACCGAUAGCGAACAAGUACCGUGAGGGAAAGAUGAAAAGCACUUUGGAAAGAGAGUGAAACAGUACGUGAAAUUGUUGAAAGGGAAGCGUUUGAAGUCAGUCAUAUCCGUCGGGAUUCAGCUUGGCUUUUGCCUUGUGUACUUUCCGUCCGAUGGGUCAGCAUCAAUUCAGACCGAGGGAAAAAGGCGUUUGGAAUGUGGCUGUCUUCGGGCAGUGUUAUAGCCUCGCGUUGUAUGUCCCGGUUGGGAUUGAGGAACGCAGCGCGCCACUUAAUUGGCCGGGGGUUAAGUCCUCUCGUAUCGCGCUUAGGAUGCUGG